This 73-nucleotide transfer RNA is filed under the name bacterium. RNAcentral describes it as "tRNA-Phe". It matches the Rfam family "tRNA". Rfam says of the family: Transfer RNA (tRNA) molecules are approximately 80 nucleotides in length. Their secondary structure includes four short double-helical elements and three loops (D, anti-codon, and T loops). The record is from RNAcentral.
GCCACGGUAGCUCAGUGGUAGUAGCGCGGCCCUGAAGAGGCCGGCGUCGUCGGUUCGAUUCCGACCCGUGGCA